RNAcentral lists this long non-coding RNA (723 nucleotides) under Equus caballus (horse). RNAcentral describes it as "lncRNA (ENSECAG00000036433.2)". Lineage: Eukaryota; Metazoa; Chordata; Mammalia; Perissodactyla; Equidae. The record is from RNAcentral.
GCAGCGGCUGUGCGGCUUUUAUGUUUUCCUGUUAGAGUUCUUUUUAACUUAAUUAAGGCUUUAAUAGGAGUUUUAUUUCCCUUAGAGGCUUAUUGUGAAGUUUAAAGUGGCCUUAGAAAUAAGUACCCCAAAUACCUGUUCCAUCAAACAUCUUUUUGAACUUCCUAUUUUACUCAGAGGAAUAUUGCUAAUCAGAUAUGUGAGCUCUUUUGGAUGAAUCUGAACUUCACUCAAGGUAACAACCCCGAAGACUUCUAUAGUGGUUAUUUUGGUGGUUUCUUUGAAGUCUCUUAAGAAGAGAUGGGAGCAAAAUGUGAGUGAAAAGGGUGCUGAACUGGUGGCAGCUGCAAAGCUUGGCUUUCUGAGAAAGGUGCUCUCAUUUGAAGGCACCCUCAGCAUCUCUUCAGCUAGCGCCUGCCUUGCUGGCGGGCUGAACCCCAGGAAACACGCUGCACUCUCUGAGCACCUUGGAAAUUAAAGAAUUGCCAGCUUUUCUGCUUUGGGACAAAAAACAUUUGUGCUAAACAGCCGGAGAGGUGCUUUGAACAGAUACUCCCUGGAGACAGCGUGCUACCGUGGAAAUACGCAAGGCUUUGAAGUCAGAGUCACUGAGGCUCCAAACUCCCCCAGUUGUAUGACCUUGGACAAGUUGCUUAAUGUUUCUUGCCUUCGGUUUAUUUAACUCUAAAAUGGGGAGAAGGAAACCCACAUGGGAGGUCUGUG